This 253-nucleotide ribosomal RNA is filed under the name uncultured bacterium. RNAcentral's name for it is "partial 16S ribosomal RNA". It matches the Rfam family "Bacterial small subunit ribosomal RNA", at positions 524 to 776 of the family's 1533-position model. The record is from RNAcentral.
GACGUAGGAGGCGAGCGUUAUCCGGAUUCACUGGGCGUAAAGCGCACGUAGGCGGCUUUCUAAGUCAGGGGUGAAAUCCUGGAGCUCAACUCCAGAACUGCCUUUGAUACUGGAGAGCUAGAGUCCGGAAGAGGUGAGUGGAACUGCGAGUGUAGAGGUGAAAUUCGUAGAUAUUCGCAAGAACACCAGUGGCGAAGGCGGCUCACUGGUCCGGUACUGACGCUGAGGUGCGAAAGCGUGGGGAGCAAACAGG